GACGAACGCUGGCGGCGUGCUUAACACAUGCAAGUCGAACGGAAAGGCCCUGCUUUUGUGGGGUGCUCGAGUGGCGAACGGGCGAGUAACACGUGAGUAACCUGCCCUUGACUUUGGGAUAACUUCAGGAAACUGGGGCUAAUACCGGAUAGGAGCUCCUGCUGCAUGGUGGGGGUUGGAAAGUUUCGGCGGUUGGGGAUGGACUCGCGGCUUAUCAGCUUGUUGGUGGGGUAGUGGCUUACCAAGGCUUUGACGGGUAGCCGGCCUGAGAGGGUGACCGGCCACAUUGGGACUGAGAUACGGCCCAGACUCCUACGGGAGGCAGCAGUGGGGAAUAUUGCACAAUGGGCGGAAGCCUGAUGCAGAAACGCCGCGUGCGGGAUGACGGCCUUCGGGUUGUAAACCGCUUUCGCCUGUGACGAAGCGUGAGUGACGGUAAUGGGUAAAGAAGCACCGGCUAACUACGUG
Molecule: ribosomal RNA, 468 nt
Filed under: uncultured bacterium
Lineage: Bacteria
Description: partial 16S ribosomal RNA
Rfam family: Bacterial small subunit ribosomal RNA
Source: RNAcentral